UACGGAGGGGGCAAGCGUUGUUCGGAAUUACUGGGCGUAAAGGGCGCGCAGGCGGCUGCUCAAGUCAGGCGUGAAAGGCCUGGGCUCAACCCGGGAAUUGCGCUUGAGACUGGGCUGGCUUGAGUGCGGGAGAGGAUGGUGGAAUUCCCAGUGUAGAGGUGAAAUUCGUAGAUAUCGGGAAGAACACCGGUGGCGAAGGCGGUGCUCUGGGCCAGUACUGACGCUGAAUAGCGAAAGCGUGGGUAGCGAACAGG
RNAcentral lists this ribosomal RNA (254 nucleotides) under uncultured bacterium. RNAcentral's name for it is "partial 16S ribosomal RNA". It matches the Rfam family "Bacterial small subunit ribosomal RNA", at positions 524 to 776 of the family's 1533-position model. The record is from RNAcentral.